Molecule: non-coding RNA, 2335 nt
Organism: Cyanistes caeruleus (blue tit)
Lineage: Eukaryota; Metazoa; Chordata; Aves; Passeriformes; Paridae
Source: RefSeq, a predicted model, not a curated record
CAUAGUAUAAGGUGGAAGACUAAAAUAGGAAAACAGAAGUAGAGAAAUUAUAGCUGCACAUGGGUCUGCACAGUCCCAAAUCCUUUAAUUGCCCAUUAUGCUAAAAACAACGUAAAAAAAAAACCCACCACAAACACACACAUGGCUCCACUACAUAAACCUCAACUGCCAGUGCUCAUACCCCAACAUGGGAUAAAGGGGUAAACUGGGGAUAGGCUGUGUGACUUCAGAAAGUUUACUUAUACACUAGUAGUUCUCUGGCUCUAUGUAAAUGCAAACAAAAUAGCAAAUUCAGUUCAGUACUAAGACCGGAAUAUCUUACUAUUACAUGCUGUGAAUUUUUAAAUUUUACCUUACACUUCCAAGAUACAAAUCCUGUCUUGAAAGUCACUUUAUGAAAAAUCAAUUCAAAUGCUCAGGGCUUCAGGUUAGUAUAGUAAAGUAUUUUCAAACUUCAGAAUUACGUUGCUGAUGUUAAAUAAUAUGAAGUUAAGUUAAUGUGGAGUUACUAUAGAAAGCCAAAUGCUUUAAUUUGCAAUUCCUGAAUCAGAAUGAAAGUAGGUUUUCUGCUUCCCUCACACAAUUGAGGAAAACAGUGAUUUAUAUACCUAGACAGGAAUUAGCUGGACUUCAGAAAUCUUUUGGUGCAGGAAAGUACAUAUACAUCUUGGAAUGAAGAGGCAUUUCCUAACAUAUGUUUAGAUUUUUUUUUUAUUUUAAUGUUAGUGGGAAGUACCUACAUACCUACAGUGUGAGUGAACCCUGAAUUCCAUAUCAAAUUAAUAUGAAUGUGUUCUUAAGUGCCUUGUACAGACUAUACCAUCUCUACUUAACAGAAAUACAUUUCUUCAAAGAAAUUAAUAAAACACAAAUAACUCAGCUUUUGGAUUUAUAAAGCUUGUUAUUAGCUUGCGAGAAACAAAUAUUCUUUCAAUUUUAGAAGUGGAUUUUUUUCACACUGUAGUUUGAUUUAUACUAAAUUAAGCAUCAGUGAAUGUUAUAAAAUAUUGCUUCUCUUCUGGGAUACAAAUAAUCAUGAUCAUAUUUAUAACCAAAUAAGAAGAAAAGCAUAAAUAAAUAAUGCAGCAUUAGUGGGGAAAAAAGGCCUAAUGAAUUAAGCUUGACUGUAAAUAUCCAGCAGAGGAGGCUAGUUCUGAAUAUAGAACUGAUCAGAUGAGACUGUUUUGAGAUAUCCUUACCUAUAUAUCUUUAAAUGAUAGCAGAUGCUUAAAAAUGUAAAACUCAGAUAGGGUUAACCUGAAGAAAAUGCAGUUUCUGAGGAUUUUCAACAUUUAGACUAUGCAAAUAACUUGUGUGAGAUGGGCAGGUGUUGAGAGGGAAGUGUUUUGGUUUAGAUGCAAACAUGAAGUUGCGUGAGAAGAAAAACAAAGAAAUCACAUAACAUUAUUUUCUCUGUCCCUAAUGUAGGUGGGAUAUAGAAACCAGAGGUGCUGUGAUAUCACUGGCAUUUGCAUCUCACCUUGCCUGUGAAAUCCCCAAAUCUGCUGUAAGGGCAACCUGAGAAACAGAGCCAGAUGGAGAGUGGUUUUCUCAAUCAUUCAGGUUACAAGCAGAUGCACACCCCUGAGAGGCCAAAGGUCUUGCUUCCAUUUAGUAAUUUUCUCAAGGCUCUGAAGGGAAUGAGGAUUAGGAGCUCACUUUUCAUUACCUAAAUCAUGCACAGCUGGGAAAGAGGUGAUCCUUGAAGUAAGUUUUAAACUAAUUAUUCAUUGCUACAAGUUGACGCUGACACGUAUGUGGAAAAGUACAGCUAGCAAAGUUAUGAGGUAAGAAAGAUGAGAAACAAGAUUAUGUCACAAGAUGUCCAAAUAAAAAUAGCACCCCCACCUUUGAAACCUUGUUGAAUCAAGGACACAAUGAGUACUUUAGGACCCUUAAGAGAUAACAGACAGGAGUCCCAGGAACCAAGGUAUGUUAUCAGUGUAGGAAAUUGGAGAGCACAACAUAUGAGUGGAUGAAGCAGGGGUAUGGCUUUUGUUUGAACUGAGCCCCAAAAACGUUCUUCUGCACCACCAAACCCCUUCUAAGGAACAGUUUGCACCAUAUUUUGCUUAACUUUGGAAGCUGAUUAUAUCUGCCUGGAAUCUACACAUCUUGUUCUAACUACUAUUGACAUUUUUAGACAUUUUUAUCAUGAUUCUUACUCGAGUACAUGAUACUAGUAGCGUUAGUAAGACUAAUCUCACGAAGGCACAAAGAGCAUUUUGGUCAGGUUGUAUUAAGCUCUCGAAAAAGAAUGGCUUAUAGUACGAUGCCAUACUUCAAAUAGUUUUAAACCAAGAGACCCAAAUACCUUUCAAAGGUGUCUGGACUC